This 484-nucleotide ribosomal RNA is filed under the name uncultured bacterium. RNAcentral's name for it is "bacterial SSU rRNA". It matches the Rfam family "Bacterial small subunit ribosomal RNA", at positions 33 to 518 of the family's 1533-position model. The record is from RNAcentral.
AGGACGACGCUGGCGGCGUGCUUAACACAUGCAAGUCGAACGGAAAGGCCCUGCUUUGUGGGGUGCUCGAGUGGCGAACGGGUGAGUAACACGUGAGUAACCUGCCCUUGACUUUGGGAUAACUUCAGGGAAACUGGGGCUAAUACCGGAUAGGAGCUCCUGCUGCAUGGUGGGGGUUGGAAAGUUUCGGCGGUUGGGGAUGGACUCGCGGCUUAUCAGCUUGUUGGUGGGGUAGUGGCUUACCAAGGCUUUGACGGGUAGCCGGCCUGAGAGGGUGACCGGCCACAUUGGGACUGAGAUACGGCCCAGACUCCUACGGGAGGCAGCAGUGGGGAAUAUUGCACAAUGGGCGGAAGCCUGAUUGCAGCCAACGCCGCGUGCGGGAUGACGGCCUUCGGGUUGUAAACCGCUUUCGCCUGUGACGAAGCGUGAGUGACGGUAAUGGGUAAAGAAGCUACCGGCUAACUACGGUGCCAGCAGCAGC